RNAcentral lists this transfer RNA (85 nucleotides) under Mesorhizobium sp. RNAcentral describes it as "tRNA-Trp". Lineage: Bacteria; Pseudomonadati; Pseudomonadota; Alphaproteobacteria; Hyphomicrobiales; Phyllobacteriaceae. The record is from RNAcentral.
GUUGGCGUCUAAGCAAUAGGUUGUAAGAAGGCUAUUCGGUCUCCAAAACCGCAGGUCGUAGGUUCGAGCCCUGCUGCCCGUGCCA